CGGACGGGUGAGUAAUGCUUGGGAAUCUGGCUUAUGGAGGGGGAUAACUACGGGAAACUGUAGCUAAUACCGCGUAGUAUCGGAAGAUGAAAGUGUGGGACCGCAAGGCCACAUGCCAUGAGAUGAGCCCAAGUGGGAUUAGGUAGUUGGUUAGGUAAAGGCUGACCAAGCCGACGAUCUCUAGCUGGUCUGAGAGGAUGACCAGCCACACUGGAACUGAGACACGGUCCAGACUCCUACGGGAGGCAGCAGUGGGGAAUAUUGCACAAUGGGGGGAACCCUGAUGCAGCCAUGCCGCGUGAAUGAAGAAGGCCUUCGGGUUGUAAGGUUCUUUCGGUGAUGAGGAAGGCGGUUGUUUUAAUAGAACAAUCGAUUGACGUUAGUCACAGAAGAAGCACCGGCUAACUCCGUGCCAGCAGCCGCGGUAAUACGGAGGGUGCGAGCGUUAAUCGGAAUAACUGGGCGUAAAGGGCACGCAGGCGGUGACUUAAGUGAGAUGUGAAAGCCCCGAGCUUAACUUGGGAAUUGCAUUUCAUACUGGGUCGCUAGAGUACUUUAGGGAGGGGUAGAAUUCCACGUGUAGCGGUGAAAUGCGUAGAGAUGUGGAGGAAUACCGAAGGCGAAGGCAGCCCCUUGGGAAUGUACUGACGCUCAUGUGCGAAAGCGUGGGGAGCAAACAGGAUUAGAUACCCUGGUAGUCCACGCUGUAAACGCUGUCGAUUUGGGGAU
Molecule: ribosomal RNA, 729 nt
Filed under: uncultured Actinobacillus sp.
Lineage: Bacteria; Pseudomonadati; Pseudomonadota; Gammaproteobacteria; Pasteurellales; Pasteurellaceae
Description: bacterial SSU rRNA
Rfam family: Bacterial small subunit ribosomal RNA
Source: RNAcentral